Long non-coding RNA from Onychostoma macrolepis, 456 nucleotides. RefSeq lists it as uncharacterized. NCBI's taxonomy places the organism in Eukaryota, Metazoa, Chordata, Actinopteri, Cypriniformes, Cyprinidae. The record is from RefSeq and is a predicted model, not a curated record. The transcript has 3 exons.
AGUGUGCAUCUGUGACUGCAAACUCCAUUGGAACAGGAAGCUGCUAUCAGCAAUCAAUAUACUGCAGUGCAGUUUAUAAUCAUCUCGCCGUUCUUAAUUGAUAUUGACAUGACUUUCAACUUGGUUCAUUGGUGCCGUGAAUUGCCAAAGCGAAAGCCCACUCUCCCACUCCUGCUUUGGGCUGACAUUCUGAUGAAAUCCUCAGAGAGGCCUGUCUCAACUACACUCCUGCGCCGGGUCCUGCUGUGGUAGCAAAUUACUGGGCCUACCACUGGGUGUAUAGUGUUACCCACUAGUGGUGAUCACCGUUGUCCUCAGGUUUGUCUCGACUGCAAAAAAGCAAAAUAAGAAGCUUUAUUCUCAUAUAACUAAAAACAGCAAAAUAAAUAGCCUAAUGGAAAUAAAGUGAUUAGAAGAAAACGUAUAACAACUAUCUGCUUUAUUUUUAAAGUAACA